Molecule: non-coding RNA, 65 nt
Organism: Dipodomys ordii (Ord's kangaroo rat)
Lineage: Eukaryota; Metazoa; Chordata; Mammalia; Rodentia; Heteromyidae
Source: Rfam
GGUGGCUCAGUGGGAGAGCACUUGCCUUGCAUGCAUGAGGCCCUGGGUUCAAUUCCUCAGCACCA